AAGUCGUAACAAGGUUUCCGUAGGUGAACCUGCGGAGGGAUCAUUAGCGCAAUUUUUUGCAAAACCCUGUCUACCUAACUGUUGCUUAGGAGGUGCCCCUGGGAGGGGAUUUGCUUCGGCCGCCUCCAAAAGCACCCCAAGACUCAAAGUUAUGAAAUUCUGAACACGAAAAAAGUUAAAACCUCAACAACGGAUCUCUUGGUUACA
Molecule: unclassified non-coding RNA, 207 nt
Filed under: fungal sp.
Lineage: Eukaryota; Fungi
Description: partial internal transcribed spacer region
Rfam family: Eukaryotic small subunit ribosomal RNA (bases 1-46)
Source: RNAcentral